GUUGGGUUGGUUUUGUUUGUGUGGGCGGGUUGGGUAACGAAAGGUGAAGCAGGUUUACAAAUGUAAUCAAUAAUGUUACUUAUUUAUUAAAACUAUUUAAGAGGUGUUCAAGGGCAAGUGGAAAAUAAGGACUCUAAGACGUAUUUACUAGUUCGAAUUAUGGACUCACCUGUGACAGCAACAACUCGAACUCUUCCUACUCCUCCGCAGCCAAACACGAUCCACAUGCCACACACAGCACUCUUUGGCUCUCACUGAAGAGCGCCAUCUGAUUGUUUCGUUGAGUUGCGCUAACGGCAAAAGAGGCGCUGGCUGCCUUCUCUUCUCGGGGUCAGGAAACGUCACCCAAGGACAUCGCAACCGGCUCACGACCGGAGUGUUCGUGCAGAUGACUUUGUGGUGCUCGAAGGGGCAGUUCCAUUUGUCGGCCCAAUAGUCGUUGGGAAACUUUUUUGCAGAAGUUAUUUGCAUACCUAGCGGUGUUGCGCCAAUCGGUUAUCGACUAUCGUCAUCGUCAUAGCAAAUCGCGUGCAUUUGCGGCGAUGGGUGGGUAGUGCGGGUCGCUGACUAGUGCUUACAGUAUUAAAUCAUCUGCAGGAUUCUCUGGUCGUUCAAAAGUCUAGGUGGGCCCAGACGCAUACACUUUCGUCAUAAAGAUAUGGCCUUGGUUGCAGAUAACUAAAUUUAAGCGAUGUCAAUUUUAUUAUUGGAAAACCAAGAUUUUUUUUCUGUUACUUAACUUUUUGCAUAUCUUAAUGCACCGCAUAUUCACCGCAGUUGGGGUCGAUUAAAUACAAAACUUAAGAACUAAAUUCAAGAAAUUUGCAGAAUCAUGUCCCAAAAAUUUAUCAAUUUUAUUUGAAAUUCAGAUAUAUUAAAAGCAUGAUGUUCUUAAGAGUAGAAGAUAAUAUGUUAAAAAAAAAACUAAGGAGCUAUAAGAUAUAGUUACCCUUUCCGGAAAUCUGGGUCGGAAACGUCUCCUUCACUGCGAUGCAAACUUCUGACUGAGGUAUAAAAAUGGGACAAAUCGAAGGGCUAUUCCAAUAGCUCCCAUAGGAACAAUGAUAUCGAUUAAGAUCUUAUUUUUUAUACACAUAAAAGUAAUAAAUUAUGAAAAAUGAUAAAAUGUAUCUUAAAUAACUGAUGAUCUUCGCGUUUGUAAUUUUUCCAAAAAGUUAAAGUUGUUUAGCAGAUGUUCUCCAUUAUUUUUGACAGUUCGCUCAUCUUUGCUUUAUUAAUUUUUUCUAAUAAUCACACAUCUGCAAAUUUUUUUUUUUUAUUUUAUAACAUUUAACACCUUAAAAGUAAGACAAACACAAUGGAACACAAACCAAUUUCUGGAUUUUCAUGGAACACAACUUUACUUGAACUUAGCAUGAAAUAGACUUUCACAAAUUCACAAAAAAGGGUUAUUCGAUAAAAUUAGUUUUACGAAAAAUUGUUAACAGGGAAGUUAAUUAUUAUUAUCUCGAUUUAAGGUAAAUAUCUAAAUUUCCAAAUUCAUUUUAAAUAAUUAAAUUCGGAGCACUCUAGCUAACAUUUGAUCUCUUUAAAGGGCGUUUGUAAAAACAGAAUAAACUUUUUGUGCAUAGCUGCGUUGCGAAAAUGAACACGUGUUCAUGCUUGCAAUGCUUUUUUUUUAGAAAGUACCGUUAGAUUCCCAGGGAAAUACGAUAUACCAUUGAGAAGGUUAGACUUUUAGAGACACGUUGUUUACUUUUCGCUUAAAUCCUUCGACGGAUACAAUGUGCAGUGUUCGCAAAGAAUUAAACACAUUUUUUUAAUUUAUCGGAUUAAAGACUAUAUAAAAAAUUUUUUUUAACGUUGUUUUGGUGCCCAUUUGGGAAAAGCCGUUAUUUUUUUCGACUCGGUGCAUUUUGCCCCUUUUUCAGCCCUUGCUCUCUUGCAAUAUUACCCCAUUUUGCCAUGGGUGCAUUUGUUUUGGUUAGCAAGUUAUCGUAAUUAUUAACUAACAAGAUCGCCCACAACUUCGUUUGUAGAAAUCAAGAUUAAACCUUGAACAUUACCUUGUAUUGUCUGUAUCUAUUCGACUUUGUUUCUUUAAAUGCCUUUAUUAUUUUUAUGUUUAAUAAAUGUAUUUAAAUAAAGGCACGCAUUACCAGUGUUAAUACCAGUGUUGUAAAAUGAUUGAAAACAAAUACAUAUAAGUUGCAUAAAAAUGCAUAGAUACCUAAAACGAAUUUACAUGUGUUUGUCUGCUUGCGUCACUAAUGUAUAUACAUACA
Molecule: long non-coding RNA, 2246 nt
Organism: Drosophila subpulchrella
Lineage: Eukaryota; Metazoa; Arthropoda; Insecta; Diptera; Drosophilidae
Exons: 3
Source: RefSeq, a predicted model, not a curated record